Long non-coding RNA from Panicum virgatum (switchgrass), 1608 nucleotides. RefSeq lists it as uncharacterized. The transcript has 2 exons. The record is from RefSeq and is a predicted model, not a curated record. Lineage: Eukaryota; Viridiplantae; Streptophyta; Magnoliopsida; Poales; Poaceae.
AGCCCCAUCCUCCCGCGCUUCGUUCCCGCACGCCGCUAUUGGCUCCUCGCCCCAAUUCGCGUGCCCAAAUCCUCCGCCCUCCGGCCAAUCCCUCCUAGCGCCGCUGCCCAAAUCCAUCGCUGCUCCGGCACCCAAACCCUCUCCUAGCGCCGCUGCCGCUAUCCCAUGCUGCUCGUGCGCCUGAAUCCUACUAGCGUCGCUCCCAGAUCCCUGCAACAGCUGCUCCUGCCCCGCUCCCAAAUCCCUCCGCCCCAAGCUCCGCCCCCUGGAACAUCUGCUCCUGUCGACCGAAAAGAUGUCAUGGCGGGGGAAGUCGCUUCCGAAGCUUGACGGUGUCACGGCGAAGCGCAGCUGUGGAACAUCUUCUUCUUCAACCACCUCAACUCCUUCGGCACCACCACCGCAGACUGAUUCGCUGCCACCCCCACCGUCAACUGCUCCAUGUUGGUCCAGAUAUGGAGUUGGCACCGGUCCUGGUUCUUCUUCUUCUUCUGGAAACCAAGGGGCAAAUCCAUGGUAAUCCAUCCAUUUUUUGAUGUUUGUUAUUUAUGCAAAUGUUUGAUGCAAUGUUCUACUGUGCAUUGAGACUGGCUUUAUAAAGCAAAUGAAACAUUAAUUCUGCGCGCUGCUUUGUCGCCCUUGGCGCCUCGGGGGAGAUAGUGAGGGAAAUAGAGAGUCCAUUCGUGACAGGGAGUCCGCGGUUGCCGUUGCCGGACAGGAAAGGGAGGUACGGAGGAGAAAGCAUGGACCGCGGAGGUUGCAAAUGUUGGUUCGUCCCAUCGGUCUUAUGAAAAUAUUCGAAUCAUGAUUGAUAUUUGCGAUCCGAAUUAGAGGAUUUUUAUAUUUACAAUAUAUCCUAAUUCGGAUCGCGACUAUUAAGUUCCGUUUGAAUCCAAGUGUUAAUGGAUGAAAGUGCUAAACUUUAGCAUUAGUAUAUCUAAAUAGGAGUGAAUAGGAUGGGCUAUGUGGUGACUUUGUCAAUCUUGAAGAUUUGGUAGCUUAGUUUUCGAAAAUGUUCAUACUAGUAGGGUUUGCGUUCAUGUGUUUAUAGCGGUGAGUGAGGAGUUUGUGCGCGUUGUGAGUGAUUGAGCUGUGUAAUUAAAAAAAAAGAGGCACCACGUAACACAGAAGACAUACAGAUACAGCUGAUUGAAUAAAGUGAUAGACAAGUAGUCCACCAUAUCAAAGGUCUGCGUAUGUCAAGUACCUGUCUUUCCCAUUGAGGUUGCUCCAGAACCUUUCUGUCUUCAGCUACUUGGCUGAGCACAACGAACUUUAAAUCCUUCCUUUUUUGCUGACUGGCGGGAGAGCAAUAUCAAAUUAGCAACCACGACGAGUUCAUUCGUCACUGCAGAGUCCCCAGUGCUGGGCAUUGCUGUAAUGCAGCAAGCAGCAUAUAUGGAAAGCAUACCAAGAAAAUCUGGUAACCGUUCUUGAUCGGCUGCUACCUUCGUGCUCCAUCAUGGAGUACAAAAAUCCCACUUUUUAUCCGACUAAAAGAAUACCAACUUUCAGUUUCUUUUACAUAUAUAUGCACAACAUGAAAGAAAUGAUAUGCUGCUGAUCUCGAGUCAUGAUAAACAAAGCAGAAGGUUUAUUCUCCAUGAA